RNAcentral lists this ribosomal RNA (460 nucleotides) under uncultured bacterium. RNAcentral's name for it is "partial 16S ribosomal RNA". It matches the Rfam family "Bacterial small subunit ribosomal RNA", at positions 338 to 795 of the family's 1533-position model. The record is from RNAcentral.
CCUACGGGAGGCAGCAGUGAGGAAUAUUGGUCAAUGGACGAGAGUCUGAACCAGCCAAGUAGCGUGAAGGAUGACUGCCCUAUGGGUUGUAAACUUCUUUUAUAUGGGAAUAAAGUGUUCCACGUGUGGGAUUUUGUAUGUACCAUAUGAAUAAGGAUCGGCUAACUCCGUGCCAGCAGCCGCGGUAAUACGGAGGAUCCGAGCGUUAUCCGGAUUUAUUGGGUUUAAAGGGAGCGUAGGUGGAUUGUUAAGUCAGUUGUGAAAGUUUGCGGCUCAACCGGAGAAUUGCCGUUGAAACUGGCAGUAGUGAGUAGAGUAGAGGUGGGCGGAAUGCGUGGUGUAGCGGUGAAAUGCUUAGAUAUCACGAAGAACUCCGAUUGCGAAGGCAGCUUACUGGACUGCAACUGACACUGAGGCUCGAAAGUGUGGGUAUCAAACAGGAUUAGAUACCCUAGUAGUC